UCGAAAUAUGACGCAGUUCGGUAGCGUGCCUGUUUUGGGAACAGGAGGUCAUGUGUUCAAAUCACAUUAUUUCGAU
Molecule: transfer RNA, 76 nt
Filed under: Eunotia naegelii
Lineage: Eukaryota; Bacillariophyta; Bacillariophyceae; Eunotiales; Eunotiaceae
Description: tRNA-Pro
Rfam family: tRNA
About the family: Transfer RNA (tRNA) molecules are approximately 80 nucleotides in length. Their secondary structure includes four short double-helical elements and three loops (D, anti-codon, and T loops). Further hydrogen bonds mediate the characteristic L-shaped molecular structure. tRNAs have two regions of fundamental functional importance: the anti-codon, which is responsible for specific mRNA codon recognition, and the 3' end, to which the tRNAs corresponding amino acid is attached (by aminoacyl-tRNA synthetases). tRNAs cope with the degeneracy of the genetic code in two manners: having more than one tRNA (with a specific anti-codon) for a particular amino acid; and 'wobble' base-pairing, i.e. permitting non-standard base-pairing at the 3rd anti-codon position.
Source: RNAcentral